UACGGGGGGAGCAAGCGUUGUUCGGAUUUACUGGGCGUAAAGGGCGCGUAGGCGGCCUCCGCAAGUCAGUUGUGAAAUCUCCGAGCUUAACUCGGAAAGGUCAACUGAUACUGCGGGGCUAGAGUGCGGAAGGGGCAACUGGAAUUCUUGGUUUAGCGGUGAAAUGCGUAGAUAUCAAGAGGAACACCUGCGGCGAAGGCGGGUUGCUGGGCCGACACUGACGCUGAGGCGCGAAAGCUAGGGGAGCGAACGGG
Molecule: ribosomal RNA, 254 nt
Filed under: uncultured bacterium
Lineage: Bacteria
Description: partial 16S ribosomal RNA
Rfam family: Bacterial small subunit ribosomal RNA
Source: RNAcentral